UGUUUAACAAAAACAUGUCUAUAUGAAGGUAUAUAAAGUCUAACCUGCCCACUGAAAACUUAAAGGGCCGCAGUAUUUUGACUGUGCAAAGGUAGCAAAAUCAUUUGUUUUUUAAUUGAAAACUUGUAUGAAUGGUUGAACGAGAAAUAAACUGUCUCUUAUUAAAAAAAUUGAAUUUUACUUUUAAGUGAAAAGGCUUAAAUAAUUUUAAGGGACGAUAAGACCCUAUAAAUCUUUAUAUAAAUUUUUAUUUAUUUUAAUUUAUUUAUUUAUUUUAAUAAAUAGCAUAUUAUAUUAUAUUGGGGUGAUAAAAAUAUACAAUUAACUAUUUUAAUUUUAAAACAAUUAUUAUUGAUUUUUAUUUAAGAUCCUUUAUUAAGAUUAAAAGAUAAAGUUACUUUAGGGAUAACAGCGUUAUUUUUUUUAAGAGUUCUUAUUAUAAAAAAAGUUUGCGACCUCGAUGUUGAAUUAAAAUAAUCCACAUGGUGCAGCCGCUAUGUAGGAAAGUCUGGUCGACUUUUAAAUUUUUACNUGAUUUGAGUUC
This 544-nucleotide ribosomal RNA is filed under the name Gastroptychus formosus. RNAcentral describes it as "partial 16S ribosomal RNA". It matches the Rfam family "Bacterial large subunit ribosomal RNA", at positions 1801 to 2612 of the family's 2925-position model. The record is from RNAcentral. Lineage: Eukaryota; Metazoa; Arthropoda; Malacostraca; Decapoda; Chirostylidae.